This 34-nucleotide ribosomal RNA is filed under the name Misodendrum oblongifolium. RNAcentral describes it as "partial 26S ribosomal RNA". The record is from RNAcentral. Lineage: Eukaryota; Viridiplantae; Streptophyta; Magnoliopsida; Santalales; Misodendraceae.
GGACUACCCGCUGAAUUUAAGCAUAUCAAUAAGC